This is a non-coding RNA of Populus trichocarpa (black cottonwood), 159 nucleotides long. The record is from Rfam. Lineage: Eukaryota; Viridiplantae; Streptophyta; Magnoliopsida; Malpighiales; Salicaceae.
UCUAGAACUCGAGAUAUGGGUUGAACACUGAACAAUGUCUUGGCUGCAGGACAAAUUCUGACUUCUCUGUUGUUGCUACAAUUUGAACUUGAAAACGGUCCUUUGGAAUCUUGGACUUGAUUAGUACUUAAAAGUGCAUUUUUAUCAAGGUUUUAUAUC